UUUUAGACGGUUUUCGUGUAAAACAUAAGUGGCCGCAUUCGUGUUCAUCCUUAAAGUUGAAAUGUAAUUUGUAUUUUAUUAUAAUACAUAACAUAUAUAAAGGUAGAGGAUGAACACGGAUGCGGCCACUUUCAUUUUUGACAAAAACCAUCUGAAA
This 157-nucleotide small RNA is filed under the name Mytilus galloprovincialis (Mediterranean mussel). The record is from RNAcentral. Lineage: Eukaryota; Metazoa; Mollusca; Bivalvia; Mytilida; Mytilidae.